Molecule: non-coding RNA, 1664 nt
Organism: Bemisia tabaci
Lineage: Eukaryota; Metazoa; Arthropoda; Insecta; Hemiptera; Aleyrodidae
Source: RefSeq, a predicted model, not a curated record
CUUUUCUCUACCACAACCGUCAAACUUUGAGCUGAACGUAGAUCUACGAUUAAGGAUACAAUCAGAGAAGAGCUUACUUUGAGAAAAUUCUUAGCCGCAUUUUAAUUCCCACUUUGGGUAACAGAUUAGACUUUCUUCAGAAAAGAGAUUAGUUGUGUAUUCAUCAAUGAUUUUACGAGAAAACGCUACUUAAUUAAAUAUCCGCCCGCGAAUCAUUGAUGCUCCAUGAUCAAAGGGCAUUGGCCGUAAUAGAAUUCCAGCCGCCGGAUUGUAUUAAUGAGGUAAAUUUAUUGUUGAUCCCUCGGUAUUCUCUACACUCAUCGUAUUUUGAAAUUCAUUCAAAUGAUAUGCCGCAAAAAUCAAGGAAAGAUCCAAGCACCGCGGAGCUAGCCGGACACAGUUCGAGAUGAGCUGAAAUCGGCUGCCGAAAUUUUCUCGAGACGGACCUAACGGAGCUAAUUAAAUUGAAAAGUCCGGAUCACUCUCGAAGAUAUUGUCCUUGCGAGCAAUACAGGAUUUUGAGAGCAGACUUGGCUGAUAAGAAGCUUCUCCGAGCUUGCGAACGACCGCCUAAUAUGAUUCAUCGUCUAUUCUUCGAAUUUGCAUUUAUUCGCACUGAACCGGAUUAUUUCGGCUGUUUAGGAAUCAUAUUUACCGAAACUUUUUCAGUUGUUUUGCGAAUUUAGCGCGACCACUUACACCAUAAAAGUGUCAUCUUUUGCCUGGGACAGUUGUAAGCCUCCGCUUAUACCGAAAGUGACGUGAACGAGUUAGUAAUUUAAUUGUUGUAAGAUUGAAAAAGUAAUUAAUUAGUGGGUUUACGAAUCUAUUCACAAUUAAGAUCGAUCUAGAUUUUCUCAACUUUUAUUGCAUUCUGCGUUACUACUCCCAGAUAACUCAGCAGGGAAAAAGAUUAUUGACCUAUCUGCUGGUUACAUCACACUCAAUAGUCAAAAUUUGGUCUAGCACUAUCUAUGGCUCUUCAAUGAAAAUGACCACGAGGUAAAAUAAAGUUACUUGGCUGUUUUUUGAGACUUCACAUUUUUCAAAACGGAUUCUUUGGCACUUCGUUGCACUGUAGAACGAAUUGAAAGCCUGGGAUAAAAACAGUCAUUUACCAAAAAACGAAUAGGAGACAAACAGUUCGAGAGAGAGAGGGUGAGGUGCUCCAGGCAAAACUCACGAAAGGUGACUUCGAAGAUGGAUCCUUCUCGGUAUAACUUUGCAUUCUUCAACGAUGUUUCACUUCAGCCGAAAAUGGGCCCAACGAAGUCGAGUUCCCAUGACCUUGCUAACUAGAUGGGAAUUGCAUUAUUACGAAACACAUCCGCUUCCAGACUGAUCAGUACAAAAGUGAUAAUUUUUCAGAUUCGUUCACACCGGGUCACCAAUGUUAGCUGAUUGAGAGCAAAAAACCUAGAGGUGUGAAGUGCAUUCCUCACCGAGUGAUAUGAUUUUAUUUCGGAGGCAUAUGAGUGCAAAAUUGCUUCACGGAGACGUACUUAUCUUAAGCACUGCUAUCAGUUACAGCGCUCGAAAUUUACCGCUACAACAUCUGUAAAAUUGUGCUACUGCGAUAAGUACAUUAGAAAAAAUGUAAAAUGAAAUUUCCUGUGUUUCAAAACUCAUUGACAAAUGACUAAAAAUAUAAUAUUCACAAAUUA